Molecule: ribosomal RNA, 482 nt
Filed under: uncultured bacterium
Lineage: Bacteria
Description: partial 16S ribosomal RNA
Rfam family: Bacterial small subunit ribosomal RNA
Source: RNAcentral
AUUGAACGCUGGCGGCAUGCCUUACACAUGCAAGUCGAACGGUAACGGGCCUUCGGGUGCCGACGAGUGGCGAACGGGUGAGUAAUACAUCGGAACGUGCCCGAUCGUGGGGGAUAACGAGGCGAAAGCUUUGCUAAUACCGCAUACGAUCUACGGAUGAAAGCAGGGGACCGCAAGGCCUUGCGCGGACGGAGUGGCCGAUGGCAGAUUAGGUAGUUGGUGGGAUAAAAGCUUACCAAGCCGACGAUCUGUAGCUGGUCUGAGAGGAUGAUCAGCCACACUGGGACUGAGACACGGCCCAGACUCCUACGGGAGGCAGCAGUGGGGAAUUUUGGACAAUGGGCGCAAGCCUGAUCCAGCCAUGCCGCGUGCAGGAUGAAGGCCCUCGGGUUGUAAACUGCUUUUGUACGGAACGAAAAGCCUUCUUUUAAUACAGGAGGGUCAUGACGGUACCGUAAGAAUAAGCACCGGCUAACUACGUG